UGAGGAAUAUUGGGCAAUGCCCGCAAGGGUGACCCAGCAACGCCGCGUGGAGGAUGAAUGUCGCAAGAUUGUAAACUCCUGUUAGAGGGGAAGAAUAGUACCGGUUGGACCGGUAUAUGACUGUACCCUCAGAGAAAGCCCCGGCUAACUACGUGCCAGCAGCCGCGGUAAUACGUAGGGGGCAAGCGUUGUCCGGAUUUACUGGGUGUAAAGGGCGCGCAGGCGGGAUAAAAAGUCAGUGGUGAAAUCCUACAGCUUAACUGUAGAACUGCCUUUGAUACUUUUAAUCUUGAGUUCGGGAGAGAGAGACGGAAUUCCAGGUGUAGUGGUGAAAUACGUAGAUAUCUGGAAGAACACCAGUUGCGAAGGCGGUCUCUUGGUCCGACACUGACGCUGAGGCGCGAAAGCGUGGGGAGCAAACA
This 422-nucleotide ribosomal RNA is filed under the name uncultured bacterium. RNAcentral's name for it is "bacterial SSU rRNA". It matches the Rfam family "Bacterial small subunit ribosomal RNA", at positions 355 to 774 of the family's 1533-position model. The record is from RNAcentral.